Molecule: ribosomal RNA, 459 nt
Filed under: uncultured bacterium
Lineage: Bacteria
Description: partial 16S ribosomal RNA
Rfam family: Bacterial small subunit ribosomal RNA
Source: RNAcentral
CCUACGGGGAGCAGCAGUGAGGAAUAUUGGUCAAUGGCCGCAGGCCUGAACCAGCCAAGUCGCGUGAGGGAUGACGGUCCUACGGAUUGUAAACCGCUUUUGUCAGGGAGUAACGCGCCCCACGUGUGGCGCUUUGCGAGUACCUUAAGAAUAAGCAUCGGCUAACUCCGUGCCAGCAGCCGCGGUAAUACGGAGGGUGCGAGCGUUAUCCGGAUUUAUUGGGUUUAAAGGGUGCGCAGGCGGAAUGUCAAGUCUGCGGUAAAAUUUCGGGGCUCAACCCCGUCGUGCCGUUGAAACUGGCGUUCUUGAGUGCGCGAGAAGCAUGCGGAAUGCGUGGUGUAGCGGUGAAAUGCAUAGAUAUGACGAAGAACCCCGAUUGCGAAGGCAGCAUACCGGAGCUGAACUGACGCUCAUGCACGAAAGCGUGGGUAUCGAACAGGAUUAGAUACCCUUGUAGUC